CCUACGGGUGGCAGCAGUGGGGAAUAUUGCACAAUGGGGGAAACCCUGAUGCAGCGACGCCGCGUGAGCGAUGAAGUAUGUCGGUAUGUAAAGCUCUAUCAGCAGGGAAGAAAAUGACGGUACCUGACUAAGAAGCCCCGGCUAACUAAUUGCCAGCAGCCGCGGUAAUACGUAGGGGGCAAGCGUUAUCCGGAUUUACUGGGUGUAAAGGGAGCGGAGACGGCGGGGCAAGCCAGAUGUGAAAGCCCGGGGCUCAACCCCGGGACUGGAUUUGGAACUGUGUGGCUGGAGUGUCGGAGAGGCAGGCGGAAUUCCUAGUGUAGCGGUGAAAUGCGUAGAUAUUAGGAGGAACACCAGUGGCGAAGGCGGCCUGCUGGACGAUGACUGACGUUGAGGCUCGAAAGCGUUGGGAGCAAACAGGAUUAGAUACCCUAGUAGUC
Molecule: ribosomal RNA, 440 nt
Filed under: uncultured bacterium
Lineage: Bacteria
Description: partial 16S ribosomal RNA
Rfam family: Bacterial small subunit ribosomal RNA
Source: RNAcentral